This is a non-coding RNA of Nylanderia fulva, 264 nucleotides long. The record is from RefSeq and is a predicted model, not a curated record. Lineage: Eukaryota; Metazoa; Arthropoda; Insecta; Hymenoptera; Formicidae.
UUUCGAAUCACGUCGUGGUAGAUAUAAUACUUUUAAUAAAGUGUGUGUGAAUAUAUUAUAUUCUUUCAACAUUGCGUGCUGCUAGUAUUAAUUUGUUGCAGUUAAUUUUUAACAAUAUACUUUUGUGUGUGUGCAGUUAACAUACUGUUAAUAUAAGGACCCUUUAUACUGCGCAUGAUGCAACAUGUCUUUACAGAAGAAAUAUUUUGAAAAAACGUUCGCUUCUCAUAUACAAAUAACACAAUUUGAAAGGAGCGUUGCGUC